CAGGGAGUAAGGAAGGGAUCACUGAAAAGGGAGCCUCUGAGCACGGCCUUCAAGGAUGGUCAGUAAGAACUCAGGGCUUUAAUCAAGGAGACAAAUGAUCACAAGUGUGUACAAUACGGUGAUUCAACCAUGCUAUACGUUAUUCAGUGCUCAUCACAGGCUUGAGAGUGGGCCUCUGGAGAGAAGCAGGGCUCUGUGCAAGGGCAGAAGCCAAGAGACACAGAGAAGGCAGUGAGCAGGAGCCAAGAUUCAGGAAGACGCGGCGGUGGUGAACCAGAAGAUGAGAUGAAGGAAUCCUUUCAGACUUUAAGCAGGAGAAUGGCAUGCCCCGUUUGUGGGAAAUGGUACGGGAAGAGGCGAAAGGAGAACCAGACAGACGACGUAGGAGGCUGGAGGCAUCAUCAGGAAGCGAGGAAACGAAACCCAAAAGUCCCUCAAGAGAUGAAUGGACAAGUAAAAUGUGGUAUAGUCCUACAACAGAAUCCAUACAGUGGAGUAUUCUUUGGUCGUCAAAAGGGAAUGAAGAACUACCUACUACAACAUGGGUGAGCCUCGAAAGCCCACUAGGUGAAAGAAGCCAGUCACAAGAGGCCACAUGUUUUUGUUUGCCCUAACACAGUACUGCAGUCUGGGUGGCUUUGAUA
Zalophus californianus (California sea lion) is the source of this 644-nucleotide long non-coding RNA. RefSeq lists it as uncharacterized. Lineage: Eukaryota; Metazoa; Chordata; Mammalia; Carnivora; Otariidae. The record is from RefSeq and is a predicted model, not a curated record. The transcript has 5 exons.